Molecule: long non-coding RNA, 918 nt
Organism: Panicum virgatum (switchgrass)
Lineage: Eukaryota; Viridiplantae; Streptophyta; Magnoliopsida; Poales; Poaceae
Exons: 4
Source: RefSeq, a predicted model, not a curated record
GUGCAGACUUGCAGAAAGCUAUUGAGGUGAAAACUAUGCUUUGGCAGCUGGUCAGCGUGAUGAAAUCGCCAAAUUUGAGGGACGGAUCAUCAAGCAAGCUUUUGGGAAGCUGAAACUAGAGCACGUUGUGAUUGGGAACGGACAGUAGUUUGAACAAGAAAGAGUAAAAGCUUAAUGUUCUAGAGGAAGGGGAGCUGCUGGUGCUGCUUUGGGAUGAGCAGGCUGAGAAAGACAGGAUGUUCCUGACCGACAUCAGCGGCCAUCUGUUGAAGCUAAUGGAUCUACUAGAAGAUCCUCAUGAAAUCCUCUUGUAAUAUGCAGGGCAUAUCUUCUCUACCCUGCCAAGAUGAGAAAAUUCUUAUUAUCAGCAUCAAUAGUUUGAGCAAGGUAAUCAACCCACCAAGUUCCUUACAUUUCUCAUGUCUGCAACCAGUUUAAAGCUGCACUACAAGCCUCAAUUCGGCAUCUGCAUAUUCAUGGAUAGAAUUGGGAGUCAAGUAGUAUUUAGCUGCAUGUGUACAACUCAUUAUCUUACAUUGACCCGUGUUCUGAGUUGGGGUGAGGCGUACAGCUACCUUAUCUUUCGCAUAUCGCAUAUUGCUAAUCUAUGUAUUUGCAGCUUGUGAAUUGAUUGUCACAGGAAACCCUCAUGGGAAAUGUGUCAACAUUUCUUCCCGCACUUUCGGAUGCUUUUAAAAACCAGAGCUCGUAUGUCCACAAGCCAAUGAGCAUGGUGCACGCCUCGAGUUUCAAUGCCACUGCAGCGUGGUCCGACCGAUGCUGGUGCUUGGGCAGGCACAACAGCCCAGCUCGGACACAGCAUGGACCGCUGCGGCCUGGAGCGGGGCAGGCAAGGCAACGGGUGCACAUCACGGUGGGUUGGACCCGGCUGGUGGCAAGAGGGCGGCGCGGCAACAU